This 71-nucleotide transfer RNA is filed under the name Omphalius rusticus. Its description in RNAcentral is "tRNA-Arg". Lineage: Eukaryota; Metazoa; Mollusca; Gastropoda; Trochida; Tegulidae. The record is from RNAcentral.
UUUAUAGAAAGUGAGAAAAUUACGUGCGGUUUCGGCCCGCUUCUUGGUAGUGAAAGUCUGCCUCUGUUAAA